AGCGCUCAGUACCAGGAGUGGUGUGAGCAGAACCAGUCCCUCCAGGGCUAAGCAGAAUGGGUCCCUCCAGCAUCCCUGAGCCUCCAGCAUCCGAGCCGCUCAGCACCCAGAAGAGCUGAUCAUUAAACAUUUACCAGCACAUCUCUGAUGAAGGCAUUGAGGAUGGGUGAAAUUUCUGGAAGACUGUGAGCUUGGUGGGUCUCUACCCUGGCUGCACGUGAGGGUCACCUGAGGAGCUCUUAGCAAAUCCCAACACUCAAACACCACUCCAGACGGAUUGAAUCAGAAACCGGAGGAAGCAGAGGAAUGGGGGCAGUGAGCUAGAGAGGGUCCCGGGGUCACAGGAGAAGACUGCCCGCCAGAGUGUGUUAGCCGGCGAACCGAAUGCCCUUUGACUGGGAGGUGCUGCUGACGCUGACGAGAGAGAAGAGACAAAGUCCAUGGAUGACCAAGGAGUGAGGUCCAGAGGCCACACGGCAGGAGAAGAGCCAGCCAGGCGUCGGGGUGCGGCGAACGGAGGCCCUGCCGGGAGUCCCAGCAGUUCACAUCUCAGUGAGCAGCUGACGGCACCGCUCGCUCGGCUGCCCCAGCCGGGCCACCAGCCCUGCGAGAGACACAUGCGCAGACCCGUCCUCAAGGACGCAGCCCUGUAAUUACCCUCAGCUGCCAGCAAACAGCAUCCACUGAAAUGAUAAGCAGACGGUGGAGGCCGGCCCCUCCCGGGGCUGCUCCAGGCGGCAUCCCGCAGACACCUCGGUGGUACGUGCUGUCCGCUGACAUCAGCAGCUUCCUGCCUGUAACAGAAGCCCUGACUCAGGGAGAAGAAGCCCUUCCCAAAGAAACCCAAGCUCCAGCCGCCCCCUGCCAGCCAGCCAGGCUCCUAGGCUGCUGGAAAACUGCUGUGUCCCGGGUGGAGUGAGCCCAGCAGACAGAGGACACAUAAUUAAUGUGACCUUCCAGAUGCAGAGACCCAGUGUGACAGCCUCACGGGUGCCUGUGAAGGCCACCGCCCACCAGGCCUGAUCUCAUUUUCUAAGUCAACCCAGGUGGACCUCCCUGGAGGAUGUGGGUUGGAGGCUGUGCCCUCUGUCCGCGCUUGCUUUGGUCCAGAGGAAGCCCCCUCGCCAAGCCUGAUGCCAGGUUUGACCCCACUGGGCAUACAAAUGACUACACGACCACUGACACUGGGUCCAGACACUGGUGCUGCCUCAGGUCCCCAGGGCUGCGAGGGACACGAGCCAGGGAAGUGACACCCGGCUCCAAGAGGCCCGGUUCCAGAGGGCUUUGCUCAGUGAGGUUUUGGAAGGUGUCACAGCUUGCCUUGGAGACGCUGUCAGUGCAGUGCCACGAGCCACACGUGGCGUUCGAACGCUCAAACGCAGCGAGCGCCAGUGGACAGCUGCCCAACGUGCAAAAUCCACACGAGAUUUCCAAGACGGAGAACAAUGAAAAUCAGGAAACUUAAAAUUACAGAUGCGUUUCACAUGAUGCUUCCACGGGAUAGCACUGCCCUAGACCCUCAGGAUAAAUGGACAAGCCCACUGGCCCCCCAGCUCCUGUGAUGACGUCAG
Equus caballus (horse) is the source of this 1571-nucleotide long non-coding RNA. RefSeq lists it as uncharacterized. NCBI's taxonomy places the organism in Eukaryota, Metazoa, Chordata, Mammalia, Perissodactyla, Equidae. The record is from RefSeq and is a predicted model, not a curated record.